UACAGAGGGUGCGAGCGUUGUUCGGAAUUAUUGGGCGUAAAGGGUGCGUAGGUGGCAUGGUCAGUCGGAUGUGAAAUCCCGGGGCUCAACCCCGGAACUGCAUUCGAUACUGCCGUGCUGGAGUACUGGAGAGGAGAUUGGAAUUUACGGUGUAGCAGUGAAAUGCGUAGAUAUCGUAAGGAAGACCAGUGGCGAAGGCGGAUCUCUGGACAGUUACUGACACUGAGGCACGAAGGCCAGGGGAGCAAACGGG
Molecule: ribosomal RNA, 253 nt
Filed under: uncultured bacterium
Lineage: Bacteria
Description: partial 16S ribosomal RNA
Rfam family: Bacterial small subunit ribosomal RNA
Source: RNAcentral